This 269-nucleotide long non-coding RNA is filed under the name Glycine max (soybean). RNAcentral describes it as "long non-coding RNA (GMAX_LNC002470)". The record is from RNAcentral. Lineage: Eukaryota; Viridiplantae; Streptophyta; Magnoliopsida; Fabales; Fabaceae.
CAGAUUCUGCGCCGUUCAUCUCCACCUUCUUCUUCUUCAUCUUCCCGCCCCAUGCCUACUGUAUCCUGCACCUCUAACGUUGCUCACCAAAACGUAAAUGCACACCCUUCUUUCACAGCAUCGCAGCUCCAAGAUGGGAAGAUCUUGGCCCUUGAUUCCACCGCUUCUAAUAAGACACCAAGGAUAUACCAUUACCAUUACUGAAAAUGCAAAGCUAGCUGGACAAUGCCUGAAAAUGGCGCAAAAUUAACUGACACCAUCAACAGUUG